UGAACGCUGGCGGAAUGCUUUACACAUGCAAGUCGAACGGUAGAGGGGGCAACCCCUUGAGAGUGGCGAACGGGUGAGUAAUAUAUCGGAACGUGCCCAGUCGUGGGGGAUAACGUAGUGAAAAUUACGCUAAUACCGCAUACGAUCUAAGGAUGAAAGCGGCGGACCGCAAGGCGUCGCGCGGAUGGAUGAGCCGAUAUCCGAUUAGCUAGUUGGCGGGGUAAAGGCCCACCAAGGCGACGAUCGGUAGCUGGUCUGAGAGGAUGAUCAGCCACACUGGAACUGAGACACGGUCCAGACUCCUACGGGAGGCAGCAGUGGGGAAUAUUGGACAAUGGGGGAAACCCUGAUCCAGCGACGCCGCGUGGGUGAAGAAGGCCUGCGGGUUGUAAAGCCCUUUCGGUAGGGACGAAAGCUCUCGACCUAACACGUCGGGAGGUUGACUUAACCUACAAAAGAAGCACCGGCUAACUCUGUGCCAGCAGCCGCUGUAAUCUGAUG
Molecule: ribosomal RNA, 501 nt
Filed under: uncultured bacterium
Lineage: Bacteria
Description: bacterial SSU rRNA
Rfam family: Bacterial small subunit ribosomal RNA
Source: RNAcentral